CCUACGGGAGGCUGCAGUGGGGAAUAUUGGACAAUGGGGGGAACCCUGAUCCAGCCAUGCCGCGUGUGUGAAGAAGGCCCUCGGGUUGUAAAGCACUUUCAGUGAGGAAGAACGCCUGGUGGUUAAUACCCAUCAGGAAAGACAUCACUCACAGAAGAAGCACCGGCUAACUCCGUGCCAGCAGCCGCGGUAAUACGGAGGGUGCGAGCGUUAAUCGGAAUUACUGGGCGUAAAGCGCGCGUAGGUGGCUUGAUAAGCCGGUUGUGAAAGCCCCGGGCUCAACCUGGGAACGGCAUCCGGAACUGUCAAGCUAGAGUGCAGGAGAGGAAGGUAGAAUUCCCGGUGUAGCGGUGAAAUGCGGAGAGAUCGGGAGGAAUACCAGUGGCGAAGGCGGCCUUCUGGACUGACACUGACACUGAGGUGCGAAAGCGUGGGUAGCAAACAGGAUUAGAUACCCUAGUAGUC
Molecule: ribosomal RNA, 465 nt
Filed under: Vreelandella stevensii
Lineage: Bacteria; Pseudomonadati; Pseudomonadota; Gammaproteobacteria; Oceanospirillales; Halomonadaceae
Description: partial 16S ribosomal RNA
Rfam family: Bacterial small subunit ribosomal RNA
Source: RNAcentral